GAUGAACGCUAGCGGCAGGCCUAACACAUGCAAGUCGAGGGAGAAGCCCUUUCGGGGGCAGAAACCGGCGCACGGGUGCGUAACGCGUAUGCAACCUACCUUUCACAGGGGGAUAGCCCGAAGAAAUUUGGAUUAAUACCCCAUAAUAUUAUUGGAUGGCAUCAUUUGAUAAUUAAAACUGCGGUGGUGAAAGAUGGGCAUGCGUCCUAUUAGCUAGGUGGAGUGGUAACGGCACCCCAAGGCUACGAUAGGUAGGGGUCCUGAGAGGGAGAUCCCCCACACUGGUACUGGGACAGGGACCAGACUCCUACGGGAGGGAGCAGUGAGGGAUAUUGGUCAAUGGUCGGAAGACUGAACCAGCCAUGCCGCGUGCAGGAAGAAUGCCUUAUGGGUGGUAAACUGCUUUUAUAUGGGAAGAAUAAGGCGUACGUGUACGUUGAUGACGGUACCAGAUGAAUAAGCAUCGGCUAACUACGUG
This 478-nucleotide ribosomal RNA is filed under the name uncultured bacterium. RNAcentral describes it as "partial 16S ribosomal RNA". It matches the Rfam family "Bacterial small subunit ribosomal RNA", at positions 28 to 507 of the family's 1533-position model. The record is from RNAcentral.